GCAAGUCGAGCGGUAACAGGAGAAGCUUGCUUUCUUGCUGACGAGCGGCGGACGGGAGAGUAGUGUAUGGGGAUCUGCCCGAUAGAGGGGGAUAUCUACUGGAAACGGGGGAUAAUACCGUAUAAUGUCUACAGACCAAAGCGGGGGCUCUUCGGACCUUGCUCUAUCAGAUGAACCCAUAUGGGAUUAUAUAAUAGGUGGGGAAGGGGCUCCCCUACGAGACUAUCUCUAUGUGGUCUGAGAGGAUGAUCACCCACUGUGGGACUGACACACGCCCCACACUCCUACGGGAGGCAACAGUGGGGAAUAUUGCACAAUGGGCGCAACUCUGAUGCACCCAUGCCGCGUGUAUGAAAAAGGCCUUAGGGGUGAAAAGCACUUUCAGCGGAGAAGAAGGUGAUAAGGAUAAUACCCUUAUCUAUUGACGAUACCCACAAAAAAAACACCGUAUAACUCCGUGCCAACACCCGCGAAUAUACGAGGGGUGCAAGCGUUUCUCGAAAACACUGGGCAAAAGCGCACGCACGCGGGAUUUAA
RNAcentral lists this ribosomal RNA (537 nucleotides) under Proteus mirabilis. Its description in RNAcentral is "bacterial SSU rRNA". It matches the Rfam family "Bacterial small subunit ribosomal RNA", at positions 57 to 585 of the family's 1533-position model. Lineage: Bacteria; Pseudomonadati; Pseudomonadota; Gammaproteobacteria; Enterobacterales; Morganellaceae. The record is from RNAcentral.